This 261-nucleotide unclassified non-coding RNA is filed under the name Hevea brasiliensis (rubber tree). Lineage: Eukaryota; Viridiplantae; Streptophyta; Magnoliopsida; Malpighiales; Euphorbiaceae. The record is from RNAcentral.
GAUGAAUCCAGCAUGGACGAUGUCACUGCUUCUGCAAAUGGUAAUUUAGUACAUCAUCCUUGUACUGCAGAAAAAUAAGUAGCACUCACUGUUACGAGCCCGAUGGCGAAGAGAAGCAAAGGAAAUUGAGUCCACUGAGAUCCAUUUCUUCAAGCAUCGUUUGUUUCCCUUUUGUAUCCUGGAGAAGUCUCAGAGUGUUUUUGACCUGAGAUGGGAAAGUUGAAAUGAAACUUUCCCGACAUGAUUGCCCUCAAGGUGAGC